GGAAGCUACGGAGGACAGUUGGCCUCUACGUCAAAACGUCGUCGCUUGUGGAUGUGUGUGUAAGAGAUGGAGGCAAGUUACUGAGGAUGUAGUUGAGUCGUCUCUUCAGGCUGGGAAAAUUACUUUUCCGUCUUGCCUUAAACAGCCAGGGCCUCGGGACCCUCCUCUUCAAUGUUUCAUCAAGCGUGACAAGAAGAACGCGACCUUUUACCUAUAUCUUGCACUUUCACCCUCAUUAAUGGACCAGGGGAAGUUCCUCUUAGCAGCCCGGAGGUACAGAAAUGGUGCUCACAUUGAAUAUAUAAUAUCUCUCGACGCAGAUGAUUUGUCACAGAGAAGUAAGGCAUAUGUUGGGAAGUUAAGAUCGGACUUUCUUGGAACCAAUUUUACCAUAUAUGAUAGUCAAGCCCCACACAAUGGGGCAAGGCCAUCAAGCAGCCGGUCUUGUCGACGUUUUGCAAGUAAGCAAAUUAGUCCCCAAUUACCAGCUGGUAAUUUUGAAGUGGGAAGUGUUUCCUACAAGUUAAACCUGCUGAAGUCAAGAGGACCAAGGAGGAUGAUUUGUU
RNAcentral lists this unclassified non-coding RNA (566 nucleotides) under Hevea brasiliensis (rubber tree). Lineage: Eukaryota; Viridiplantae; Streptophyta; Magnoliopsida; Malpighiales; Euphorbiaceae. The record is from RNAcentral.